CCUACGGGAGGCUGCAGUGAGGAAUAUUGGUCAAUGGCCGGAAGGCUGAACCAGCCAAGCCGCGUGAAGGACGAAGGUGCCAAGCAGGGUAAACUUCUUUUGUCAAGGGACAAAAUCAGGCGCGAGAGCCUGACCGAGGGGACUUGAAGAAAAAGCAUCGGCUAACUCCGUGCCAGCAGCCGCGGUAAGACGGAGGAUGCGAGCGUUCUCCGGAUUUAUUGGGUUGAAAGGGUGCGUAGGCGGACUGUUAAGUCAGCGGUAAAAGCCCGGGGCUCAACCCCGGCGAGCCGUUGAAACUGGCUGUCUUGAGCUGUCGAGUGGUAUGCGGAAUGCGCCGUGUAGCGGU
Molecule: ribosomal RNA, 346 nt
Filed under: uncultured bacterium
Lineage: Bacteria
Description: partial 16S ribosomal RNA
Rfam family: Bacterial small subunit ribosomal RNA
Source: RNAcentral